Molecule: non-coding RNA, 72 nt
Organism: Phrynosoma platyrhinos (Desert horned lizard)
Lineage: Eukaryota; Metazoa; Chordata; Lepidosauria; Squamata; Phrynosomatidae
Source: the annotation of a GenBank genome assembly
GCCAGAGUAGUGUAAUGGUUUGAAUGUGGGACUACGACUCUGGGGACUAGGGUUCAACUCCCUGCUCAGGCA